GAUGUGGUCACUCCUAACGCUAGCUGUUUAAUGGUCACUAAACUACUAUAUAAACAAGUUCAUGUAAUUUAAUGGUCACUAAGCUACACUAAACUUGAAUUUAAGCAACAAAGUCACAAACUUUGACAUGCUAGNAAAUCAUCGUCGCAAUAAACCAUAAAAUACUAUAGGAGUAUUUUAGCUAAGACCGAAUACGUUGUAGAAAUUCAUUCCAAGUGUUGCUACUCAUUCUUNGACAUGCUAGGUAAUUAUAAUCAAACACAAUCUGAAAUCCAACUUUAUAAACUCCAUAAAACAAUAAACUAAACCAUAGUCCUAAGGCUUCAUCUAGCCAAACAAAAGUAAACUAGUUUAGCUACUCAUAGUUGAAAUCAGACACAUAAGUUCAUAAAUAAUUGUCAAGAUCAAAUAAACUCAAAACGAAUAUAGAGUUAUAAUCUUCAAAUUC
This 448-nucleotide long non-coding RNA is filed under the name Lactuca sativa (garden lettuce). RNAcentral describes it as "long non-coding RNA (LSAT_LNC005786)". The record is from RNAcentral. Lineage: Eukaryota; Viridiplantae; Streptophyta; Magnoliopsida; Asterales; Asteraceae.